CCUACGGGAGGCAGCAGUGGGGAAGUAUUGGACAAUGGGCGAAAGCCUGAUCCAGCAAUUCCGCGUGUGUGAAGAAGGCCUUCGGGUUGUAAAGCACUUUAGUGGGGGAAGAAACAGCUUGGCCACACCAAGCCUUGACGGUACCCCAAGAAUAAGCACCGGCUAACUCUGUGCCAGCAGCCGCGGUAAUACAGAGGGUGCAAGCGUUAAUCGGAUUUACUGGGCGUAAAGGGUGCGUAGGUGGCUAUUUAAGUCGGAUGUGAAAGCCCGGGGCUCAACCUCGGAAUUGCAUUCGAUACUGAGUGGCUAGAGUUCGGUAGAGGGCGGCGGAAUUUCCGGUGUAGCGGUGAAAUGCGUAGAUAUCGGAAGGAACAUCAAUGGCGAAGGCAGCCGCCUGGGCCUGGACUGACACUGAGGCACGAAAGCGUGGGUAGGCAAACAGGAUUAGAUACCCUGGUAGUCCACGCCGUAAACGAUGAGAACUUGACGUUGGUUCGUUUUACGAAUCGGUGUCGCAGCUAACGCGAUAAGUUCUCCGCCUGGGGAGUACGGCCGCAAGGUUGAAACUUAAAUGAAUUGACGG
RNAcentral lists this ribosomal RNA (583 nucleotides) under uncultured bacterium. Its description in RNAcentral is "bacterial SSU rRNA". It matches the Rfam family "Bacterial small subunit ribosomal RNA", at positions 338 to 916 of the family's 1533-position model. The record is from RNAcentral.